GACGUAGGGGGCAAGCGUUAUCCGGAUUCACUGGGCGUAAAGGGCGCGUAGGCGGUUACGUAAGUCCGGCGUGAAAUCUCAGGGCUUAACCCUGGAACUGCGUCGGAUACUGCGUUGACUAGAGGUCGGUAGAGGUAACUGGAACUAGCGGUGUAGCGGUGAAAUGCGCAGAUAUCGCUAGGAACGCCGGUGGCGAAGGCGAGUUACUGGGCCGUACCUGACGCUGAGGCGCGAAAGCUAGGGGAGCGAACCGG
This 254-nucleotide ribosomal RNA is filed under the name uncultured bacterium. RNAcentral describes it as "partial 16S ribosomal RNA". It matches the Rfam family "Bacterial small subunit ribosomal RNA", at positions 524 to 776 of the family's 1533-position model. The record is from RNAcentral.